UACCACCCUACGACUGCGAUCAGAUGUGGUUAGCUUCUACCGUUCCUUCCUAGAGUACUGGAUGGAGCCCCUUUGUGCUCAGGCAUUGUACACCUACGGUGAGGAAUUUGCUGGUUCCAUGAGCAGUGUGGAGUUGGUUGAUUAUUUCUUGACCGAUCUCUCGAAACCCGGAGUGUGGGGUGGCGAGGAGUCACUGCGUGCAAUUUCCCAAUUGCAUAAUUAUGCGAUCCAUGUUUUCCGCGAGAACUCUGAGAGAUCAGAGCUGAAUGAGGGGGCGGACGAUCGAUUGCGGAUUAUUCACCGUCUGAAUGUGGUUGGCGAAUACACCCAUUAUGACAGUAUUCUUGCGUUCCAAUCAGGUAAAAACAUAUUUAAAUUGAAUUUCCUGGUUAUUAAUUACAUGCCGUUUGUAGGAAGGAGUCACUCGCCUUCACUUCCUGGAGACUUCUCCACCUACACCUGGAUGUGACCUUUCACUUUCCAAUGGAAAUCCCCCGUUCCCAGGAGGUGUAACAGCGACUUCCCCGGACUUGCGUGCUGCCGCUCCAGCUUCCUUUGGUUGCUCUACUUCUGGGCGAGUUAGUAUGCCAUCCGGUUGUAAUCGCACGUCAUUCCACUAACCUCUUAUACCGUCUUCGCCUAGCUUCUCAAACAGUUCCGAAUCUACCUUCAGCCGUUCUUCCAUCAUCGGGCACCAGCAUCCUGUCAACACAUCGUGUCAUCACUCCAGACUUUUGCGAAGCUGUGCCAGAAUCACUUGGACCUGCAACCGCCUGUCCAGCGCCCACGCCUACAGGUAACUUCUUGGCCAUUAAUCUACUGACAAUUAAUACUGCCGUUUACAGGUUCGUCACCAUCUCCUGAACCAUCGCCAGCCCAUCUACCGAUGUCAGGCAUACGUGCUAUUCAUGAACUCCGUCUCGUCACUUCCGAUCCGUACGAGCCUCUUCUCACUCCCGCUUCAGCCAUUAUCGGUGAUACUCCGCCUCCCGCUUCUCGUAACAACAUGUUCAGUGUUUGCACCUGGAACGUUUCCGGAUGUUCCGGCGAGGCUGAUCGGGAUACCGUUGACCUCAUUUUGUCGCGUAACCACAUACAAGUAGCUUGUCUGCAGGAGACCCGAAUGGCCACCUGCACUGCUCGGACUGCCGACUAUGACUGAUUCAAUGUUAACUCCCUAGUUGACGCGGCUCUUCGGAUGGGCGGUGGCACUUCUGUUGUCGUUCGUCGUUCUCAACUGCAUGGCUAUUUUUUUUCUAAGAGUUUCUGCCAAUAUUUGUUAUGUUCGAUUGCGAAUAUUUGAUGACGAUCUAACUAUCUUCACUGGUUGGUUACCGGGAUCUGCUUGAUGCUGAUAAGCGUUAUGUUGGACGAUAUUUGUACCAUCCUUGGAGUAACGGCAACGGGGAGAGCCUUAAAGAUUUCAUUUCUUGGAUUAUGCUUGUGCAGCUCAUUCGGUCCCAACGAGAGUGUGUUGCGCACCUGGAGUCGGGGUAGCAGUCGCUCACAGAUCGAUCAUAUUGUGAUGCCGAUCAUUCCGCGCUUCGGAAAUCCGCAGUGCCGCUGCAUUGAGCCAGUUUCAGGUUUCUCUGAUCAUCGACUUUUGUUGUUGAGAGUUAAACGUCGUUAUGUUCGUGUGCCCGUUCCUCAUGCUGUUUUGGCUUCUGAAUCAAAUUUAUGCCAGAGGCGCACCCGCUAAAUCAACGUGAACCUGCUCAAAACUAGCGACGAGGUUAAGAAACGCUACCACCAACUGCUGUCUGUCAAACUGCAAGCACUCAAUCAGCCUCGAGAUAGUUUGUCUGUCGCAAAUCUGCUAGACCAUGUCGUCCGUUGCUUUAAGAAGACGCUAGGGAGAGUACCAACUGAAAAUGUUAAACCAAAAACUAAGAGAUAUGUCUCUUUAAGCAAUCAAUCUUCAUCGUGUGCACACUCAUUCCACAACAUCGAACUCCAUUGCCCUGCGCCGCCUGCCCUGGAACGAUACCUUCCGUCUCCCAUAUAAGCGAAUGAUUAAGUCGUCAAUUGACGUUAAGAUAUUCUUUGGUCACCCCUUCGAGCGAAGAAAUUGUAAUGCAUUACAUUAACUUGAAGUUCACAUCCGUGUUAGGGAAGCGCUUUUUCGAUGGCCAAUUUUGUGCAUUCUAGAUACUUGACCUUUCCGUCGGUGUUUGCUUAUAAUUACUUCCAAAGUCUCCAAUAUCUCUCUGCGUUUUGUUAACUUUUACGUUAUAUUUUCGAGAUUAUUGAAAUAGUAGUUUAUGCAACAAGUUGCAAAAAGAAGAUUUUUUCAGCACGUGUCGUACAUUUAUCCAACGAGGUUCACCGAGUUGGAUAAAUACGACAAGUGCUGAAAAAAUCAAGGUUUGCAACGAGUUCCAUACAACAUUUUUUGCAUUUCUGAAAAAACACCCAUUGAAUGAAAUUAUAAGUCGAAUGUUCAUGUAUUUUGUCAAUAAAUCGUUUAAAUCAUUUUUUUUUGAAAAGUAUUACUUUUCAAAACUAGUGCUGAAAAGUUCAACUUUUCAGCAACCAUUUCAGUGCUGAAAAGUAGAACUUUUCAGCAUUUGUUUUGA
Long non-coding RNA from Culex pipiens pallens (northern house mosquito), 2576 nucleotides. RefSeq lists it as uncharacterized. The transcript is spliced from 3 exons. The record is from RefSeq and is a predicted model, not a curated record. Lineage: Eukaryota; Metazoa; Arthropoda; Insecta; Diptera; Culicidae.